UGGUGGUCAGGUGGCGCAAGGGUAAAGGUCAGGUGGCUGUCUGGUUAGUUAGUACCUCAAGGGCGUAGCGGUGCCGGUGCCGGUGCCGGCGGCGCUGCUGCUGCUGCUUCUGGCGGCGCGGGGGCGGGGGAUGCCGGCGGUGCUCGGGCUGCGCAUGCCGCGGGGAGGGGGCAGGAUGCCGGCGGCGGGGCUGCUGCUGCGGCCACUACGGAUGCCGGCGGUGGGAGGGCGGCGGAUGCCGCGAGGAGGGGGCAGGAUGCCACGGGGCGGAGGGCGGAUGCCCCCGCCGGCGCUCCUGCUGAUGCCGCCGGCGCGGGGCCGUAUGCCACGGGGCCGGGGCCGGAUGCCACCUCCGGCGCUCCUGCUGAUGCCUGCGGUGCGCGGGCGCGGCCGCCCGAUGCCGCCACCACUGAUGCCCGCGGUGCGGGGACGAGGCCGGAUGCCGCCUCCGGCGCUGCUCCCGAUGCCGCGAGGCCGCAUGCCGUUGCACCACGUGCAGCGGGUGCUCAGGCCGCUGCUCUCCGGCGUCAUGCCCCCGCCGCCUAGGCCCCCGAUGCCGGUGCUCUGCGCGGGGGUGGUGCCGCCGCCCCGCCGGGGCCGCUGGUCCGUCGGCUGCAUGUCCUAGGAGACGUUCCGGCCGCUCCUGUCGAAGUCGGAGCGGCGGUCCCUGCCGUUCCAGACGGAGCAGGCGUGGCUAGCGCUGCUGCUGUGCGUCGUGACCUAGUUCCUGUACUUCAUGUCGUGUUCCCAGUUCCUACUCCUUCCGAUGGGACGGUACCGUGAGCAGUUGUUCCGGUCGCCUCUCCGAGAGUUCGUGAGGGAGCCGGUUAGAGUGGGACAAGCAGACUGGUCCAUGUUAGGUCUGUGGGACCUGCUCAGCCAGGAAACCUGGCUCUCGUCCCUGCAGCCCCGUCCGAUGGCGACGUAGUCCUACCACUUGUUGUAGAUGAACUUGAAACUACGUGAGGUACCGCUGUUCCUGGUACCGCCACACGCGCUACCUUGGUGGGAGUAAGACACCCUCACCUGACUCCCGCUGUUGGUCGCGACCUUCUAGCAACGGACCACUUACUACGUGUACGAUGUCAAACAACCAAGUUUGUCGCGCGCUAGAAUUAUUAUUCGUUCAUGACAUACAAAGACCUUAUUUUUCCUACCGCGGUUACACUCGCCAUACAGACAAAACAAACCCCUCAAUACAUAUACCUACUUGAACAUUACUACCUAAAUAAACCGGAUCUAAUACACACUACCUACGUACUUGUUUGGUCACGAAUAAUAAUACGUACGUAUAUGUACGGCACACUGUACAAACACUUGAUGUGACAUAUUAUCUUAACCAAAUAGGGUAGUAUAACGACAUUGCCUCUAGAUAGGUAUAUCAACACCGGCUAUAAGUUAAGCCGAGUUCCAUCGUAUACGAGGACGCACGGUUUUUACGAAAAUAUUUACCCUUUUUUAUACUUUUUAAGUCUGUACAUGUACAGUAAACGUUUAGAGAUGCCACUUUUGGGUUCGUAAAGCUGGUCAUGUUUUUGUUCAAGACACGAAUAAAAGACCGCGAAUUUGACAGAAAAAAGGGACUCCUUCGUAUUAACAAGGAAAAAACGUACUUUUAGCUGUCCUCGACAUACUUGUACAUGUUUUUUAGGAAAAUUUUUACCAAAGCGUAAACGAACUUAAACAAUUUUUUUUUCCAUAAUAGGAGGUCAAAGACCACUCUAGAAACUCCACGUCUGUGAAACUAGAACAGACCCUAGUCCCUGAGGAGAAAAGAACAUUUUUUCUUCACAACUUCCAGGGAGGUUUUGGUUUUUCUUUACAUGAGUUCCAGUUAAGGAUACAGCGAAGAGUACUUCAACUAUACUAAGCGACGAAAUAAAAGUAAGGUGAAAAGAGUAAGGUCGAAAUCGUUAUUAACAACCAUAGUACAGGACAGGUGAUCUCUCACAGACCGAGCGGGACCAUCAACGGACAACGGUAGACGGUUUAUUUAGCGUCAUUUAAACUACACUCUACGGUAUACGAUGUGCUUAAUACGGC
RNAcentral lists this ribosomal RNA (2043 nucleotides) under Triticum aestivum (bread wheat). RNAcentral describes it as "partial small subunit ribosomal RNA". Lineage: Eukaryota; Viridiplantae; Streptophyta; Magnoliopsida; Poales; Poaceae. The record is from RNAcentral.